CCUACGGGAGGCAGCAGUGGGGAAUUUUGGACAAUGGGCGCAAGCCUGAUCCAGCAAUGCCGCGUGAGUGAAGAAGGCCUUCGGGUUGUAAAGCUCUUUUGUCAGGGAAGAAACGGUGAGCUCUAAUACAGUUUGCUAAUGACGGUACCUGAAGAAUAAGCACCGGCUAACUACGUGCCAGCAGCCGCGGUAAUACGUAGGGUGCAAGCGUUAAUCGGAAUUACUGGGCGUAAAGCGUGCGCAGGCGGUUUUGUAAGUCUGUCGUGAAAUCCCCGGGCUCAACCUGGGAAUGGCGAUGGAGACUGCAAGGCUAGAGUUUGGCAGAGGGGGGUAGAAUUCCACGUGUAGCAGUGAAAUGCGUAGAUAUGUGGAGGAACACCGAUGGCGAAGGCAGCCCCCUGGGUCAAAACUGACGCUCAUGCACGAAAGCGUGGGGAGCAAACAGGAUUAGAUACCCUGGUAGUCCACGCCCUAAACGAUGUCUACUAGUUGUCGGGUCUUAAUUGACUUGGUAACGCAGCUAACGCGUGAGUAGACGCCGCGGGGUACGGGUCGGUCGAGAGUUAAACGUUAAAGUUAAAGUUAGUAGGNGNGAGAGNGCGACGGACGACGACGAGGAGGAGG
Molecule: ribosomal RNA, 624 nt
Filed under: uncultured bacterium
Lineage: Bacteria
Description: bacterial SSU rRNA
Rfam family: Bacterial small subunit ribosomal RNA (bases 1-540)
Source: RNAcentral